Ochotona princeps (American pika) is the source of this 101-nucleotide small nucleolar RNA. Its record names the gene SNORA74. It matches the Rfam family "Small nucleolar RNA SNORA74". Rfam says of the family: U19 belongs to the H/ACA class of snoRNAs. snoRNAs bind a number of proteins (including dyskerin, Gar1p and Nop10p in the case of the H/ACA class) to form snoRNP complexes. This class are thought to guide the sites of modification of uridines to pseudouridines by forming direct base pairing interactions with substrate RNAs. Lineage: Eukaryota; Metazoa; Chordata; Mammalia; Lagomorpha; Ochotonidae. The record is from Ensembl.
CUCAGCUGUAGGCAGCUGCCUAGGUUGCCUUGUACCUAGGCAAGUGUUGCACUGCUGGGAGAAUGCAGCUAGUAGCUGGCAGGCACUCUGGAACUGAUAAU